Molecule: long non-coding RNA, 702 nt
Filed under: Mus musculus (house mouse)
Lineage: Eukaryota; Metazoa; Chordata; Mammalia; Rodentia; Muridae
Description: predicted gene 14207
Source: RNAcentral
GAGCAGUCCUUAGAGAUCGUCUGCUUAAAGGCUGAGACCCUCGCCACCAGAGGAUAGGAGGGUAGCCCAGUGAUGCGGCGGGAGUCUUUUCCCUCAGUGCCUAUCUCACCUGGGUCGCGCUUGGUCUCCAUAUCCUCAUCCUGGCCCCCACCCGCGUCCCCUAGCUCCGCUGGAGUAGGGAGGAAACUUUCUUAAUUCCAGAAUUUCCUUGGGCCACUUGAGAGGCAAGGCAACAUGAAGACAACCAGAGGCCACCUCGGGGGCGGGGCACAAAUGAAAUUCACGGGUAGAGGAAAAGACAGAGGACACACUCCUAAGGGAAGAGGCAAUAGGAGCAGAACGGAGGAGGGGAAAGAGCAGAGCGUGAAAAGUCAAGGUUUCGGGGCCUUUUUUGGUAGGAGGCCUGUGAUAAGGUUCUUGACUGAACAACCUGGCCUAGAGAAAACCUUCCCACUGAGACAACUCUCCUGCUGGAGGGUAGUCUUUCAGAGCAGCGGCCUGCAGAAAGGAAGAGAUGUCAUCCUUGAAUGGAUCUAAUCAGAGAGGGUGCUGGCCUCAGAGAGAGGGGGGGCGCGGGGGCGCGCUCGGCUUUUCCUCAUACCUCUGAGAGACCCUACUUCCUGGGUUCACUGUCCACUGUCUGGUUGCUCAUGCCUGAUGACUCAACAUAUGCCAAAUAAAGGAUACCCAAGUGGGCAGGAU